Long non-coding RNA from Alexandromys fortis (reed vole), 648 nucleotides. RefSeq lists it as uncharacterized. Lineage: Eukaryota; Metazoa; Chordata; Mammalia; Rodentia; Cricetidae. The record is from RefSeq and is a predicted model, not a curated record. The transcript has 3 exons.
CCCCCACACACCUGGCAGGCAGUACCAUGGGACAGCUUCCUCCCUCACCAGCAACCCACGGCUGGUAUAACCUUUUGGGAGGGGCCUUGUGAAUCUGGUAAAAAUUUCUCAGUUUUCUUAGCUUUGUAAGUUUUACUACCUUCUAGAAAGUCUCCUGCCUGUCUCCAGUGGGGACUGUUUCAAUAAGGAGGAAAUAACAACAGGAUAGGUGGAGAGGAUGCUGUGAUUGGACGAUGCCUGCAGUGUGCAUUAAACAUGCCAGCUCGGCUGUACCAAAAAAGGGUUUCUCAGUGUCAUCCUGGCUGUCCUGGAAAAUCCUUGAGGUUCUAUUGUGGAUAAUUGACUUUCUACUUGAGAAACCGACUAACUACAUCAACACAGGAACAUGUAUACAGAUAUUCAUAAUCACAACAGUUAAUGUGGAGACACAGCUCGGAUGUCUAUCAACUGAUGAGUCGAAUAAAAAGAGUUGAUGUUCAUAAAACAAUAUUAUUCAGCAAUGAAAAGGAGUGAGAUACCUAUGCAUGAUAUGGGAUACAAGAAACUCUGAAGCAUUGGGCUAGUCCAAGAAGACACACCUAAGGAAAAUGCAGAUGCUUCUAAAAAAUGGCCAAGACAGAAGGCACAGGAGUGGUUUCAUUGACCUAG